UACAGAGGGUGCAAGCGUUGUUCGGAAUUAUUGGGCGUAAAGAGCUCGUAGGCGGCCUGUUGCGUCCGCUGUGAAAUCCCGGGGCUCAACCCCGGGCGUGCAGUGGAUACGGGCUGGCUGGAGGCAGGCAGGGGAGAACGGAAUUCCUGGUGUAGCGGUGAAAUGCGCAGAUAUCAGGAGGAACACCAAUGGCGAAGGCAGCUCGCUGGGACGGUACUGACGCUGAGACGCGAAAGCGUGGGGAGCAAACAGG
Molecule: ribosomal RNA, 253 nt
Filed under: uncultured bacterium
Lineage: Bacteria
Description: partial 16S ribosomal RNA
Rfam family: Bacterial small subunit ribosomal RNA
Source: RNAcentral